RNAcentral lists this ribosomal RNA (295 nucleotides) under uncultured Alphaproteobacteria bacterium. Its description in RNAcentral is "partial 16S ribosomal RNA". It matches the Rfam family "Bacterial small subunit ribosomal RNA", at positions 99 to 409 of the family's 1533-position model. The record is from RNAcentral. Lineage: Bacteria; Pseudomonadati; Pseudomonadota; Alphaproteobacteria.
CAGACGGGUGAGUAUAAUGUGGGAAUCUGCCUUUUGGUUCGGAAUAACACGAGGAAACUUGUGCUAAUACCGGAUAAGCCCUCACGGGGUAAAGUUUUAAUGCCAAAAGAUGAGCCCGCACUUGAUUAGNUAGUUGGUAAGGUAAAAGCUUACCAAGGCAACGAUCAAUAGCUGUUCUUAGAGGAAGACCAGCCACAUUGGGACUGAGACACGGNCCAAACUCCUACGGGAGGCAGCAGUGGGGAAUCUUGCACAAUGGGGGGAAACCCUGAUGCAGCGAUGCCGCGUGAGUGAG